GAUGAACGCUGGCGGCGUGCCUAAUACAUGCAAGUCGAGCGAACGGACGAGAAGCUUGCUUCUCUGAUGUUAGCGGCGGACGGGUGAGUAACACGUGGAUAACCUACCUAUAAGACUGGGAUAACUUCGGGAAACCGUAGCUAAUACCGGAUAAUAUUUUGAACCGCAUGGUUCAAAAGUGAAAGACGGUCUUGCUGUCACUUAUAGAUGGAUCCGCGCUGCAUUAGCUAGUUGGUAAGGUAACGGCUUACCAAGGCAACGAUGCAUAGCCGACCUGAGAGGGUGAUCGGCCACACUGGAACUGAGACACGGUCCAGACUCCUACGGGAGGCAGCAGUAGGGAAUCUUCCGCAAUGGGCGAAAGCCUGACGGAGCAACGCCGCGUGAGUGAUGAAGGUCUUCGGAUCGUAAAACUCUGUUAUUAGGGAAGAACAUAUGUGUAAGGAACUGUGCACAUCGUGACGGUACCUAAUCAGAAAGCCACGGCUAACUACGUG
Molecule: ribosomal RNA, 497 nt
Filed under: uncultured bacterium
Lineage: Bacteria
Description: partial 16S ribosomal RNA
Rfam family: Bacterial small subunit ribosomal RNA
Source: RNAcentral